CAUAGCGACUAUCGUGGCAUAUCAAUAAGCGGAGGAAAAGAAACUAACAAGGAUUCCCCUAGUAACGGCGAGUGAAGCGGGAAGAGCUCAAAUUUGAAAUCUUCAAGGUUCUACCUUGACGAAUUGUAGUUUAUAGAAGUGUUUUCUGUUAGUAGAGUGGCAAAAGUUCUUUGGAAUAGGACAUCAUAGAGGGUGGGAAUCCCGUAUUUGGUCAUUCUUUCUAGCUUUGUGAUACACUUUCAACGAGUCGGAUUGUUUGGGAAUGCAGUCCAAAAUGGGUGGUAAAUUUCAUCUAAAGCUAAAUAUUGGCGAGAGACCGAUAGCGAACAAGUACCGUGAGGGAAAGAUGAAAAGAACUUUGAAAAGAGAGUUAAACAGUACGUGAAAUUGUCAAAAGGGAAGCGUUUGACACCAGUGUUGUUUUUCCGAAAAUCAAUUACGAAUGUUUUAUUUUUGAGAAGUUAUGACUUCAUCGGCUUGCUUCUUCUCUUUACUGAAACUUUCUUAAUGCACUUUUCGGUUAACAAGUCAACAUCAAUUUCUUUUGUUGUAAAAGGGUAUGAGGAAGGUGGCUUUCUUUUCGGAGAAAGGUGUUUAUAGCCUUGUACCUCUGCAAUCGGAGAGAUUGAGGUCUGCAGCGUAGAUCCUUCGGGGUUAGAUACAUUUGUGCUAAGUUAUAGCUUUUCAUAGACAACUUGUUGACUAUGUUAAGUCUUGUAGGCUUACUCGCUUAUGCUAUUUUACCUACGCUUAGGAUGUUGAUAGUCACAGCGUGUAC
RNAcentral lists this ribosomal RNA (778 nucleotides) under uncultured Neocallimastigales. RNAcentral's name for it is "partial large subunit ribosomal RNA". It matches the Rfam family "Eukaryotic large subunit ribosomal RNA", at positions 22 to 644 of the family's 3401-position model. Lineage: Eukaryota; Fungi; Neocallimastigomycota; Neocallimastigomycetes; Neocallimastigales. The record is from RNAcentral.